CGUAGGGUGCGAGCGUUAAUCGGAAUUACUGGGCGUAAAGCGUGCGCAGGCGGUUCUGAAAGUCAGCUGUGAAAGCCCCGGGCUUAACCUGGGAAUUGCGGUUGAAACUACAGGGCUAGAAUCUGGCAGAGGGGGGUGGAAUUCCACGUGUAGCAGUGAAAUGCGUAGAGAUGUGGAGGAACACCGAUGGCGAAGGCAGCCCCCUGGGCUGAGAUUGACGCUCAGGCACGAAAGCGUGGGGAGCAAACAGGAUUAGAUACCCUGGUAGUCCACGCCCUAAACGAUGUCAACUAGGUGUUGGGAGCGCAAGUUCUCAGUACCGCAGCUAACGCGUGAAGUUGACCGCCUGGGGAGUACGGUCGCAAGAUUA
RNAcentral lists this ribosomal RNA (370 nucleotides) under uncultured organism. RNAcentral's name for it is "bacterial SSU rRNA". It matches the Rfam family "Bacterial small subunit ribosomal RNA", at positions 526 to 896 of the family's 1533-position model. The record is from RNAcentral.